GGGCUGAUAGCUCAGUCGGUAGAGCAGUGGAUUUUUAAUCCAUAGGUCCAGGGUUCGAGUCCCUGUCGGCCCACCA
This 76-nucleotide transfer RNA is filed under the name Myxococcales bacterium. Its description in RNAcentral is "tRNA-Lys". It matches the Rfam family "tRNA". Rfam says of the family: Transfer RNA (tRNA) molecules are approximately 80 nucleotides in length. The record is from RNAcentral. Lineage: Bacteria; Pseudomonadati; Myxococcota; Myxococcia; Myxococcales.